RNAcentral lists this ribosomal RNA (539 nucleotides) under uncultured Geobacteraceae bacterium. RNAcentral's name for it is "bacterial SSU rRNA". It matches the Rfam family "Bacterial small subunit ribosomal RNA", at positions 1 to 519 of the family's 1533-position model. The record is from RNAcentral. Lineage: Bacteria; Pseudomonadati; Thermodesulfobacteriota; Desulfuromonadia; Geobacterales; Geobacteraceae.
GUAMUCYRAGUUUGAUCCUGGCUCAGAACGAACGCUGGCGGCGUGCCUAAMAMAUGCAAGUCGAACGAGAAAGUCCUUCGGGAUGAGUAGAGUGGCGCACGGGUGAGUAACGCGUGGAUAAUCUGCCCUGGUAUCUGGGAUAACAUCUCGAAAGGGGUGCUAAUACCGGAUAAGCCCACGGGAUCUUCGGAUCUUGCGGGAAAAGGAGGCCUCUAUUUAUAAGCUUCUGUACCAGGAUGAGUCCGCGUCCCAUUAGCUAGUUGGCGGGGUAAUGGCCCACCAAGGCGACGAUGGGUAGCUGGUCUGAGAGGAUGAUCAGCCACACUGGAACUGAGACACGGUCCAGACUCCUACGGGAGGCAGCAGUGGGGAAUUUUGCGCAAUGGGGGAAACCCUGACGCAGCAACGCCGCGUGAGUGAUGAAGGCCUUCGGGUCGUAAAGCUCUGACAGGGGGGAAGAACCGGCAGGAUGCUAAUACCAUCCCGCCCUGACGGUACCCUCAAAGGAAGCACCGGCUAACUCCGUGCCAGCAGCCGCG